Molecule: ribosomal RNA, 274 nt
Filed under: uncultured bacterium
Lineage: Bacteria
Description: partial 16S ribosomal RNA
Rfam family: Bacterial small subunit ribosomal RNA
Source: RNAcentral
AUACGGAGGGUGCGAGCGUUGUUCGGAAUUAUUGGGCGUAAAGAGCAUGUAGGCGGUCUGUUAAGUCUGGUGUGAAAGCCCGGGGCUCAACCCCGGAAGUGCAUUGGAUACUGGCAGACUUGAGUAUGGGAGAGGAAAGCGGAAUUCCGAGUGUAGGAGUGAAAUCCGUAGAUAUUCGGAGGAACACCAGUGGCGAAGGCGGCUUUCUGGACCAAUACUGACGCUGAGAUGCGAAAGCGUGGGGAGCAAACAGAAUUAGAAACCCCGGUAGUCC